This 499-nucleotide ribosomal RNA is filed under the name uncultured bacterium. RNAcentral's name for it is "partial 16S ribosomal RNA". It matches the Rfam family "Bacterial small subunit ribosomal RNA", at positions 28 to 507 of the family's 1533-position model. The record is from RNAcentral.
GACGAACGCUGGCGGCGUGCCUAAUACAUGCAAGUCGAGCGGACUUUCAAGAAGCUUGCUUUUUGAAAGUUAGCGGCGGACGGGUGAGUAACACGUGGGCAACCUGCCUGCAAGACGGGGAUAACUCCGGGAAACCGGGGCUAAUACCGGAUAAUAUCUUCCUUCGCAUGAAGGAAGGUUGAAAGGCGGCGCAAGCUGCCGCUUGCAGAUGGGCCCGCGGCGCAUUAGCUAGUUGGUGCGGUAACGGCUCACCAAGGCGACGAUGCGUAGCCGACCUGAGAGGGUGAUCGGCCACCCUGGGACUGAGACCCGGCCCAGACUCCUACGGGAGGCAGCAGUAGGGAAUCUUCCGCAAUGGACGAAAGUCUGACGGAGCAACGCCGCGUGAGCGAAGAAGGUCUUCGGAUCGUAAAGCUCUGUUGUCAGGGAAGAACAAGUACCGUUCGAACAGGGCGGUACCUUGACGGUACCUGACCAGAAAGCCACGGCUAACUACGUG